GGAGGCGUGCCAGAGCGGCCGAAUGGGGCUCCCUGCUAAGGAGUUGCCUGUCUUGCGACGGGCCGGAGGUUCGAAUCCUCUCGCCUCCG
Molecule: transfer RNA, 89 nt
Filed under: Corynebacterium sp. ATCC 6931
Lineage: Bacteria; Bacillati; Actinomycetota; Actinomycetes; Mycobacteriales; Corynebacteriaceae
Rfam family: tRNA
About the family: Transfer RNA (tRNA) molecules are approximately 80 nucleotides in length. Their secondary structure includes four short double-helical elements and three loops (D, anti-codon, and T loops).
Source: Rfam by way of RNAcentral